AUCUUGUUUCCAUUAAUAGACAUUUCUCUUUACAUCAACAACGAUUUCUUUACUAAUUUAUAUUUCUUCCAAAUGUCAUUAUAAAAUUCUAUAUACAUAUAUUGACAUGUUAGAAUUCUUUGAUAGUUAACAAACAAAACCCAAACUUGUUUAAGCCAGUAUAAAGAAAAUCGUUAGCUUAUGACCAUCAUUUAUAGGCACAAACAAUAUUUUCAUUGUCCUUUGUGGUGUCAGUCUCAUCUACAGGUUCUUCCAUUGACCCAUCAACUUGUCACAGAUGGCUGUGACUAAAGUGGAUGCCUGGGUACCUAAUAUAAUGAAUAACCCCAAAUGAAUCAUAAACUUAAGUGUAAAACUAGAAAACAUUUAGAAAAAAAUAUGAGACAAACUUAGGAAUCUAGGGAUAGAGAAAGGAGUUCUUAGACUUAUCAAAGCAUGAUUCAUAAAAGGAAUAAUUGUAAUAAUGGUGCCUUAUCAAAAUUAAAAACUUUGGCUCUGAGGAAGAUGCUAUUAAGAGCAUAAAGAGACAAGCCACGCACUGGAAGAAAAUUUUUGCAAACCACUUAUCCAACAAAGGACUGGUAUCUAGAAUAUAUAGAACUCUCAACUCAACAGUCAAAACAUAAAGAAUGAAAGGGAGGAGAACCCAAUUAGAAAAUAGGCAAAAGAUAUUUCACUGAAAAGAAUAUAGAUGGUAAAUAACCAAAUGAAAAGAUGUUCAAGAUCAUUAGCCAAUAAGGAAAUGCGAACUAAAAGCACAAUGAGAUAUUACUACACACCUUACAGAAAGGCUAAAAUAUAAAAUAAUGACAACACUCAGUGCUGACAAGGAUGCAGAGAAACUUGAUCAUUCAUACAUUGCUGGUGAAAAUGUAAAAAAUGGUACAGCCUCUCUGAAAAACAGUUUGGCAGUUUCUUACGAAACUGAACAUGUUACUACUAUACAAACCAGCAGUUAUAUUCUUGGGCAUUAAUGACAGAGAAAUGAAAAUUUAUGUUCAACCAAAAGCUUGUAUAUAAAUGUUUAUAGUAGCUUCAGUUUUAAGAGCCAAAAACUAGAACGAACCCAGAUAUCCUUCAACAGGUGAAUGUUUAAACGAUCCUAGUACGUCUAUACCAUGAAAUACUACUAAGCAAUAAAGAUGGACUGUUGACACACUCAACAACUUGGAUAAAUCUUCAGGGAAUUAUGCCAAGUGGAAAAGCCAAUCUCAAAAGGUUACAAACUUUAUGAUUGAAUUUGUGUAACAUUCUCAGAGGGACAAAAUUAUAGAAAUGGAAAACAUAUUCAUUAGUGGUUGCCAGGGGUCAGGGAUGGCAUGAGAGGGCUAGGGUAAGCAGUUAUGUGGGGGUGAUUAUGAAAGGACAUCAAUAAGGAGUCUUAUAAUGGAACUGAUCAGUAGCUUAUCUAUAUCCAUGUCAAUUUCUUGGUUGUGAUGUUUUACGGUAGUUUGGCAAGAUGUUACCAUUGGGGGAAAUUAGACAAAAGGUGCACAGUGUUCUGGACUGAAUGUGUAUGUCCCUUCCAAAAUUUAUAUGUUGAAACCCUUACCCAGUGAGAUGGUAUUAGGAAUUGAGGCCUUAGGAGGCAAUUAGCCUUCUAUGUUCUAUGAGGUCAUCAGGGUGGAGCCAACAUAAAUGAGGUUACUGCCUUUGUAAGAGUCAUGAGAGAGCUUGUCCUCUCUCUGCUCUCUGCUAUGGGGGGAUACAACCAGAAGUUGACAGUCUGCAACCCAGCAGAGCGUUCUCACCAGAUCUCAACCGUGCUGGCAGCCUGAUCUUGGAUUUCCAGCUGGCAGAACUGAUUAUAUAUUUUGGAAAGAAUCCUACAAUUGAUAAUACUGUGCCAAAUAUUCCACAUUAAGUGAAUUUUGAUUGAUUGAUUGAUUCAUGAGAUAAAUUUGUACUGCAGAAACCAAAAUGAGCAAACCUUUAAGGAAAAAAAAGAGCCAUCUGCUCACAGUGUAAUGCAGUGUCAAAACAUUAUAGUGACAUCCCUGACAUAUCCAUUCCCCCUGAGGUCGACUGUGCGAGAGGCUGAUCUCACAUCAUACACAGGAGAAGCCACAGCAGAAAAGAGCAAUGUGGUUUACAGAACUUAGAAAGGAAGAUACCAAGAAGUAGUGAAAUCAUAGUAUGUUUCGUUACUGAUAUUCUUCUAAGGUGAUUGGACAGAACAUGCCAGGGAAAGAUCCUGACUUUGACAGCUAUUGUAGGGGAACACUGGCAUAACUUUCUGACGUGUGAGCCUUGUUGUUGGCUGCUUCUACCUGGCAUGGAAAUUUGACAUAAAAAUAAUUAAAGAAAGUUUAGGCAAAAUUAUUGCUUAAAGGACCUCAUUAACCUAAAGGUUUACAAUGCUAUCCAGUUCUAUGUCAUUUGGUAGAUGUUCAGUCAAAGAUAAAUCAUUCAUACAGAGGUAACUUAGUAUCUAUUGAGAUGAGUCUAAAACGAUGGAGUGAUAUUCAUAUUUGCAGUUGGUUGUAAAGAUAAUUCUGUUAUUCAAAUAUUACAAUAUCUUGACAUCUUCCUCUAAGAAAUGAAAUUGUGCAGGAUAUAAAAAGAAAACAAGUAAAUAUUAAUUUAACAAUAUUAAAGAAAAUAACAAGAAAACAUUUUAGUACUCACCCACACAUCUUUCAGAACAGCCAUAAUUACAUGAAUUAUCUCUUAGUUUGUAUAUACAUGCUCAGUUUGAGGGAAAAGGAAAAGAUGUGAACAAGCUUUAGCAAUAUAUAUUAUCAACUUCUUGUACAAAUGAGAAUUUUGCAUGUAGAUUUUAGAAGUAAAAUAUUUAUUUUUAUUUAAAGAAGUUGCCCAAAUGCAUUUAAAUUUCUUUUCUGUAAUAGAAGCUGACAAAUUAACAUAAACUUUACCUCCAUGAUUUUGUCAUCUUUGAAAUGGUCCCUCCAAGUAUUAAGCUUCUCAGAGAUUCAACAGGGUUAAAUAAGCUUGGUUGUUUGCAGCUAUCCCUCUCAAAAUGUAUUUACAUUAAACCCUUUUUUACUUAUCAAAUUACUUAAUGAUUCUACUCCUUUGUAUAAUUCAAAAAAUCAUUGAAAUCUUUGUCUGCUUUUACCUCCUCUCCUGUAAACUCUUGUACUUUCUAUAUUCCUGUACCAUAAUUUUAGUGGGAUGGUAGGGGAAAAGUGGUUAAUGCCUAUGCAUAAGCCACCUGUUUCUUAACCCUUAUUUUGUUAUUAAAAUACUUAACUGUGCACCUCUUAGAUAUGUACUAAAUGCAUAACUCUCUCACAUUUCUGAAAAUUCUUCCUCUCAUGUUCAUGUCUGUUGUCACAGUUCCACCCUACAUUAAUCCUGUUUCUGAAACAGAGAAAAAAAUAUCCAGAAUUAAAUAUUCUUUGCUUUACAUUUUUCACUAAUCAGUGUUUAUUGCAAAUCCUAUAAAGCCGUAGCUGGUACGCAACUUGUCUCCCAAUGGAAACAAUGUUUUCACUCAUUGGAAUGAUGGGAAUUCCAGGAUUAUGUUUUCUGAGUGAAUGAGGUGAGCCCUACAAUUGCUCUGCCUUUUCUAUCUGAAGAGAAGCAAGUCCUGGAUUACAGGGCAAGAAAAGAGAAACAAAGCAGAACAUGAGAAUCUUGAGUUGAAGAGACACAGAUUAGAGUUUGAGGAGACUGAUCCUGAUGGAAUUUGCAGGAUAGAUUAUCAGAAAGAAGGGAACAUGGAGAAAAAUACAUAUAAUGAUCCUCUUUUUUCUUGGCUGAAUAUUAAUCUGCAUAUGCAUAAGGUGAAACUCCACAAACCCAAGCAAAACCAAUUGGAAGCAAAUUACAAGAAUACUAAUUCCUCUGGGGCCAGCCCCAUGGCCAAGUUGUUAAGUUUGUGUGCUCUGCUUCUGCAGCCCAGGGUUCGCUGGUUCGGAUCCUGGGCACAGACAUGGCGUUGCUCAUCAGGCCAUGCUGAGGCAGUGUCCCACAUAGCACAACCAGAGGCACUCACAACUAGAAUGUACAACUAUGCGCUGGGGGUGCUUUGGGGAGAAGAAGAAGAAAAUAAAAGAAUACUAAUUCCCAGGCCACACUCAGGGAUGGAAGACAUUCACAUUUUGUCCAGAAAGAGUAAAGAAACAUGUUGAAUAGUUGGAUGAUCAGUAGAAAUCUUUGAAGGAUUACAACUGAGUAGUAGGGCUAUAUUAGCCCUUAAGGAAAACCUGCUCUGGAACUGCCCUAAAAUUUUUUUUAAAAAGUCUCCCCAUAUAACUUAACUUCUUCCCAAAGUAAGCUUCAAUACUUUUUAGAGGAAGUCAAUGAAAGAUAAACACUCAACGGUAUGGCAUGUGCAAUAUCUAGGAUUUAACAAAACAAUCACUUGCCAUGCAAAGAAGUAGAAUUGUGAACCACAUAAGCAAAGCCUUAAAUCUUCAAGAUUUUAAAGAAAAGUAUAAUGCAAAAGAGAUAUGGAAGGUAUAGAAAUAAGAAACUGAUGGACCCUCUAGUGAUAAAAAAUAUAAUAUGUAAAUUAAAAUACUCACUGGGUGAAGUUAGUGGCUAAUUAGGCACUGAAGGUCAAAUUAGCAGUAAACUCAAAAGAAAUAACAAUUGAGAAUACCUGUGUUAGUCAGUUGGAGCUUCCAUAACAAAAUACUAUAGACUGGGUGACUUGAACAACAGAAAUUUAUUUUCCCACAGGAAAUAAAUUUAUUUUCCUUCUGGAGGCUAGAAGUCUGAGAUUAGAGUGCAUGUAUCAUGGUCAGGUUCUAGUGAGAGCUCUCUUCCCGCUUUGUAGACAGUCACCUUGUCUCUCUGUCCUCACCUGACCUUUCCUCUGUGCUCACAUGGAGAGAGAGAGUGAAUGAACUCUCUGAUGUCUCUUCUUAUAAGGGUAUUAAUCCUAUUUUAUCAGAGCCUCAAUAUUAUGAUCUCAUUUAACUUUAAUUACCUGCUUAUUGGCCCUAUCUCAAAAUGUAGUCACAUUGGAGGUUAGGGUUUCAACAGAUGAAUUUUGGAGAGACACAGUUCAGUCCACAGCAAUACUUAAACUAAAGCACAAAGAUAAAGAAAUAUGAAAAGGUGUAAAGAUAAUUGAACAAAGCUUUAGUGACCUGUAGGACAGUAGUAAGUUUCUAAAACAACUGGAUAUUCAUUUGGAUAAAAAAAAAAGCAUCUACAUCCUUACCUUCCACCAAAGUCAGAAAUUAAAUUAAAAUGGAUUAUAGAUAUAAACAUAUAAGUUAAAAAUAUAAAACAAAUAGAAGAAAAUCUUUGAUACAUUAGAAUAGGCAAAAAUUUCUUGGGACACAAAACGUAUAAAAUAUGAGAAAAAUUCCUAAAUUGAACUUGAUUAAAUUUAAAAUUUUCUGCUCUUUGAAAGACAGCAUUCACCAGUAAGUACACACAGAAAGACAAACCACAAACUGGGAGAAAAUAUUAGCAAUAGAUAUAUCUGAUAAGUGACUUUUAUCCACAAUUUAUAAAGAAAAAAUUCAAUUAAGAAAAUGAGCAAAUGAGAGUAAUGCACUGCUCUUGGUUUUGUAAAAUGGUACAACCACUUUAGAAAACAGAUUCCACUUUGGAAAACUUUUGGACACUUUUGAAAAACAUCCCAGAAAUCCUAUCCCUAGGUAUUUAUCCAAAAGAAAUGAAAAUGUAUGUUGACAAAAAUACUUGCACAAGAAUGUCCAUAGCAGAUUUCUUCAUAAUAGCUUAAAAUUCGAUACAACUCAAAUGUUCAACAGCAGGUGAAUAAAUUAAAAAAUUAUGAUAAAUUCAUAUAAUGGAACAUUAUUCAACAUUAUAAAGGAACAAACUAUUGUUACAUAUAAUAUGAAGGAAUCUCAAUAAACCUCAGACUGAGCAAAAUAAGCCAGAAAGAAAUAAUACACAAUGUAUAAUUCCAUUUAUAUAUAAUUCUACAUCAGGCGACAUUAACCUUUAGUGACAGAAAAUGUAUAAGUGGUUGUCUUGACUUGGGGAAGGAGGUGACUGAGAUGAUACACGAAAGAGCUUUUUGGGGUGAUGAAAAUUUUUUGUGUUGCAUUGUGGUGGUUACAUGCCUUGUAUACAUUGGUCACAUCUCAUAGAACUGUACUCUUUGCUUGGUGCAUUUUAUUAUAUAUAAAUUAUAUCAAAAUAAGUUUAAUUAAAAAUUUAAAGGACCAGCCCAAUGGCGUAAUGGUUAAGUUCACGCACUCUGCUUAGGCAGUCUGGCAUUCACAGGUUCGGAUCCCGUUGCAAACCUAGCACCACUCAUCAACCGAUUCUAUAGUGGCAUCUCACAUGAAAUAGAGGAAGAUUGGCACAGAUAUUAGCUCAGCAACAAUCUUCCUCAAGCAAAAAAAAAAAAGAUUGGCAACAGAUGUUAGCUGAGGGCCAAUUUUCCUCUCAUACACACACACACACACACAAACUAAAAUGUAUGUAUCAACUUCUAGGAAGAUUUCUGAGGCCACCAGCUUUCAACUUAUCAAAACAAAUUAAUACAAUUGUAGGGGAAGUUGUCCAAUUAAAGUUUCCUGUGUGUAAAUAAAAUACAUAGGUUCAAGAAGCAGAGCUGGGUUGCCCAAUUUGGUAGCCACUAGCCACAAGUGGCUAUCAAACCUUGAAAUGUAGCUAUUCUAUAUUGACAUGUGUUUUAAGUACGAAGAGACACACCAGAUUUCUAAGAUGAGGUGUGAAAAAACAGUUGUAAAUAUCUCAUUAAUAACACUUUAUAUUGAUUGCACAUUGAAAUGAUAAUAUUUUGGAUAUAGUAAGUAAAUUAAAAUAUAUCAUUCCAUCAAAUACAUAUUCAGUAUAUUAUGUUCAACAUAUCAUGCAUAUUAAAUAUAUUAUUUCAUCUAUUUCCUUUGGAUUGUAUUUGGAUUAUCAUGUGGAUUGAAUUUGUUUUUUAAAGAUUGGCACCUGUGCUAACAUCUGUUGCCAAUCUUUCUUUUUUCUUUUCCUUUUUUUCUUUACUUCUUCUCCCUAAAGUCCCCCAGUACAUAGUUGUAUAUUCUAGUUGUAGGUCCUUCUGGUUGUGCUGCCUCAGCAUGGCUUGAAGAGUAGUGCCAUGUCUGCACCCAGGAUCUGAACCAGCAAAACUCUGGGCCUCUGAAGUAGAGCUUGCAAACUUAACCACUCGGUCGCAGGGCCUGCCCCUGGAUUGUAGUUUUAACUGGGCAACUAGUUAUACAUUUAGGAAAAGGUAAAUAAUCCCACUAAGAACAUAGAUGUGCUAUGCCCAAAUAUGCAGUGCAACAUUGAAAUAGUUAUAGAAAUUAUAUUCUAAGGUAAUAUUUCUAAAGUGUUUGGUAAUGAUCAAGGUAUCAGAGAUUUUGCCUAAAAUAUAGUUUUUAGAAAAUGUGUUUGGGAAGUGUUUAGUUAAACAACACUUAAAGGGUUUCUAAAAAACAUGCCUUUUAAGGGUUUCAUCAAGCUAAUAUGUGCUGUGAAUCUUCAGAGAAAGGUCCUUAAUAUAUUCUUUUUUUUCCUUGACGCAAGUCAAGAGAGUCCUACUCAAGAUUUUCUGCAAUAAACUAUGAUUCCUCUAUAACAAAAUAUAUAUCUGAGUUAUUUUAGAAUAGGUGUCUCAUACAUGUAUGCUGGAAUUCAAAUUCAGAAGGUGUAGAACUACUUCUGUAAUGAUUUGGAUGAAUACUAACCAUUGACUUGAUUGAAAUGCUAUGCUUUUCUUUUCAG
Molecule: long non-coding RNA, 7638 nt
Filed under: Equus caballus (horse)
Lineage: Eukaryota; Metazoa; Chordata; Mammalia; Perissodactyla; Equidae
Description: lncRNA (ENSECAG00000050945.1)
Source: RNAcentral